UGGCGUGAUGGACGUCACACGUGUGAGUCAGACAGCAGGUGUUCAAUUGGGUCAACUCUAAGAUGUCUAUGACAAAUGGUUACUAUGCGAAUCACAAUAUUCGAAUAAUAUGCAAAAGAAGAGUAGAUGUGAGAGAGUAAAAUAUUGUAACGAGUUAUCGCCGAUGGGUUCGGUGAAUCAAUAUCGGUGUAUUCAAUCUCUUCAACACUCAAACACUACACAAAGUAAACAUAACGGUUCUAUCUAACUACUGGCCACGAAGGUCUACACUACAGUCCCAUUUAUAGUCUUACAGGCGUGGGAAAGGGUCAGUCGGCGAAUCCGAUGCAUCAGCAAUCGGAUGACACUCGAAUGACACUUCCGUCGGUCGUUUGUCUAUCCGUUACAGUUAUAACGGAUGGCGAGAGUUCUCUUACAAGGAUGCGUGAACGCUACAUCCCCUCUUCAGCCUGCGACUCGUCCCGAUCGCACUAUGACGACGAAGAACAAGGAGAAAAAUAAACAUAAACCCCAAAACAUAAGAGACACGAGCAAUUUUCGGUAAAAAAAAAAAAAUUUGUGCAAAGAAACAAUUUUUUAGCCAAAAGUUAAUGAAAACAAAUGAAUGCAAAAUUCAAUGUAAACAAAUGUCACAACAAAUGCUAGAAGGGUUACUGGUCGAACCAAUGGACAUAAAUGCAAAAAAAAAAAAAAAAAAAAAUUGUUUGUUGUAAUGGUGUGUUGAUUUUACUGAGGAACAACAAGCUUAGCCAAGAUGAGAGCAUUAGCAGCAGCAACUACAGGGAUAUGUGCUUGCAUGUUAGCAGGAUUCAUGUUCUGGCAAUCCAAUCAUCGUAUGCCGUCAUGAGACCAUCGACUGUGUUGGCCCACUUUCCAUACACCGCACGAUUCCCAAAUGAGGCAACAUUCUGGAUAGAAGUAUUCCCCAUGAACCUCACUUGGAUAUCAUAGGACAAUUGCGUCAAUCUACGAAACUGAGUUGAUCGGAUGGCAUUCUUCUCUGCCAUGGUUCCGAAGCCUCCCCAAGGGUUUAGGGUGUUAUUGGGACCAGUCAAAUGUUGAAUGACACCCAUAAACGCCGCACAUUCAAGAGGCCACAUCACGUGUACGUAACCCCAAUUGAACUCCCCGCAAUCUUUGGUGGCUUGCACGAUCAUCAUAAUCGCUGUCAUUCCAUGGAAUCUUGCUUGGGCAACCAUAUUCUUUAAUCCCAGGACCUGUAUAGCUCCUUGAUUGGCCAUAUGUUCAAACAAAUUGGCAAAUGCUGCGCGAUCCAUCCCCACAGUCAUUUUCCCGAACAUGGUCGACAGAACUCCUACGUCAGUAGGCCAUUGACAUUCCAUAUUAGUAAGGCCACACUGGGUGACAAAUUUGGCAAACUUGCGUGCAUUGGAUGUACCCGCGAAAAGAAGGGUGUACCAGAUGUACACAAUUCCUCCCUUCAUCCAGUCCACGUACCGAGCAGGAGCCCUUCUAACCCCACCUCCCACAGCCACUCGGAUGAAGAUUGCGACCUGUUCAGCGGUUAAAGUAGCACCCCACGUGGGCCAAUCGGCAGCAUCAGCAGGAGGAGCUGCCAUCACAUGUAGUUGACCCCCUAUCGUUCUAUCAAUAUUGGGAAGAGCAUGACAUGCUGUGUAUAAUGUGCGUAGCUCAUCUACAAAGAUGGCACUGACAGCACGACCACCGCGUGACGCUUCGCCGCUCAGGAGCGAUCUUAACAUCUCACUCAUAUGAAGACGAGCAUCUGCCUGAUCUAGAUACAUGUUCUCAUGUUGAAAAACUCCGCAGCACUCCUGAUAAUAGCGAUAAGCCAGCUCAUAUCCCUGUCAUGUUGAAUAAUAUUACUGCGGCGGGGAAGCUACAGUAGGGAAACGAAAGGGAAAGUGAAAAACUUAGCGUAUGUUGGAGUGUGUAAGAACGGAAUAUUUGUGUGUGUAAGAAUGGAAUAUUUGUGUGUGUAAGAAUGGAAUAUUUGUGUGUGUAAGAAUGGAAUGCGCUAGCGGUGGCGCUGUUUUAUGUGUAGUGUAUAUGGGAAAAAGUCUUUGCAGUGAUAGCAAAGCUAUAGAAAAGCAUAGAAGGGAAGUGAUAUAUAGUGGGACUUAGAAAAAUUUCAACUGUUUCGUUCGUGUACGGAUCUCUAAGAGGAGUGGGAGUUGUUGAACUGAAUUGGAAUACAUUACUAUCAAGGUUUUUCUAAUUUCCUUUUCUCAAUACUUUACUGUUUACUAUUUCUAAUGUUGUAUGGCUACCGAAUAAGAAUAACAGAUGGACUUCUAAUAAAUUCUACUAUUUCUUUCAAGUUUUUUUUUCGAUAAAUGUCUGCUACUUCAAUGGAAAGUUUUGCAAUUUAUGGGCCUACUGAGAGAGGGAACAACUUAAAUGCAAAUAUUUCAAAGAACACAGAGGCAAAAAGAAACAACAAAUUAUUUUAUACUUGUUAGACACGACAUUGCUUUAUGGUAUCCCAACGUAUGGAAAGUAUGUAAGAAGUUCAAUCGUCUAAAGAGGGUACAACAAAAAAGAAAAUCACGACGGCGACGUCAUUGUGGAGGCCGACGGGUGGUGGCUUGCGGCAACCCGUCUUCUUGUAGAGCUGCUCGGCGCAAUCGUCGGAUAAUCAGGUCGAAUCUUCUAUGUCGCCAAUGCAGGAACUCCCGAGAAUUGGUGCUGGGAGCCGGUGAGUCGCGGUCGCUGUCUGAAUGAUGUUGAGGUUCGCUCGUCGGUGUGGCGGAAGCUUGUGCUGGCAUCCCAGCUCUUGCCCCGGGGACGGUAAUCAGCAAGAUGUCUCCUCCUCUUCCGUCCGGAACAAGAGUAACCAAACGGUUGGCGUUUGUGUGGCUGGUCAUCUUCUUGAGAUUUUAUUUUUUUUUUCCGUUUACUUUCGGGUGUAAAGACGAGCGUGCUGUCUGUCUGAACGCUGGUUGUCGAGUUGCCGAGCAACGUGUUGUGUUGUCAAUAGCAGCUUCGGUAAGCGGCUGAAUUUCAUUUAUAUUAUUUCUCUGCGUAAGCGAAAUGCUUUUGCAGGGUUGGUGGAAGUCGGUGAGUGUGUUAAAGAGCGUCGUGUUUCGUCGGCGAAAACUUUGCCGUCCCCCCAAGUGUCGUAUUCUUUCGACGCAUCGGAUAGAGAAAGAAGAUGGAAGGAAGAUAUGUGAAAGAAGAAUAUAGAAGAAAUGGGGCGUAUGGGAGCUACCACGGAGAAGAAUAAGACCAAUUUGUAAACCUAAACUGUAUAUAGUUAUGCUUUAAAAUCGAACAAAUUCUACAUGUACCGAAAAACUUGUAUGCUGUAAUACAGAUUGCUUUUGUUCUCCCUUUUA
Long non-coding RNA from Daphnia magna, 3320 nucleotides. RefSeq lists it as uncharacterized. The transcript is spliced from 2 exons. NCBI's taxonomy places the organism in Eukaryota, Metazoa, Arthropoda, Branchiopoda, Diplostraca, Daphniidae. The record is from RefSeq and is a predicted model, not a curated record.